This 359-nucleotide transfer RNA is filed under the name uncultured Microcystis sp. Its description in RNAcentral is "partial 16S-23S ribosomal RNA intergenic spacer". The stretch from base 134 to 207 matches the Rfam family "tRNA". Lineage: Bacteria; Bacillati; Cyanobacteriota; Cyanophyceae; Chroococcales; Microcystaceae. The record is from RNAcentral.
AAAGGGAGACCUAAUUCAGGUAUGGGACGAAAAAAAAGUAGUCCCUACCAAGAAUCAAUCCCAAAAGGUCGGAACGAGGUGUGUGGCUUUCAAACUAGGUUCUGGGUUCAUAAAAGACCUGAAUCAGGAACAAGGGCUAUUAGCUCAGGUGGUUAGAGCGCACCCCUGAUAAGGGUGAGGUCCCUGGUUCGAGUCCAGGAUGGCCCACCUGCACAGGUGGCAAAAACAAGAGAAGCGAGGAAUCAGCACCUUAUCUUACUUAUAUAGUAAGAGAGAAUGCUGGCUCUGAGUAAAGAGUCCAGAGGAACCUUGAAAACUGCAUAGAGCUAGGUGAAAAAGCCAAAAAAGAAGACCGCAAG